RNAcentral lists this long non-coding RNA (2676 nucleotides) under Sus scrofa (pig). RNAcentral describes it as "lncRNA (ENSSSCG00000060157.1)". Lineage: Eukaryota; Metazoa; Chordata; Mammalia; Artiodactyla; Suidae. The record is from RNAcentral.
GCUCCCCAGGAGACCAAGGCAGACGGUAAAUGGGAGCAAAGUCAGGAGGCACGAGGGGGCAAGCGUGAGGACCCCAGGAGAGAUAGGCCUCAUACAAGGAAGGACGCGCUGGUUAAACCAGAGUGGCCCUGAGUCGCCCGGCUCAGCCCCCUGGAGCUUCUACCCUCCCAGAUCCUACUGGGCCAGUCCCUGGGGUCAGCUCCCGCCGCCUGCCACCCCCCCAGGCGGGUCCAAUCGCAACGACGCGGAUUCCCCCGCGACUCUGAAUCCCUUUAAAAGUUAGUCCCCAAGUAAACCGCUCUUUCUCACUUGGGAAGCGGGGUCAUCUCCGGAGGAGGCUUCGAGGACAGACGCGGUUGCCCUCUUCCACCCCCUGGAAACAACAAUGGGCGAGCGGCCGAAAGAGAACAAGUGAAUCAAGGGUGGAAAAUCCCCCAAUCCUGCAAUGUCAAGGCUGGGCGCACGGUGCGGUGACAGGCGGCUGCGGUGCUGCCCCCACGCGCCCUUCCUCGGGACUGCAGACCUGGAGGGAGGGGCGGCACGGGUUGAUCUCCUGGUUCUCAGACUCUGAGGCGCUUGGCAGGGGGGAAGGGAAAGCUCAAGUUUGCGUUCUUGAGGCUAUUUUAGGUUCACAGGAAAUUACAUUUCAUUUCUAAAGCCGAAAUCGUCUCACUGCUUGCAUUUUCCCGAAGCAGAAUACAAUGACUUGGGGUUUUUUUGAUCAUCACAUCCUACCACUAGCCAUGUUCUUUUCUUUUUCUUGGUCAUUAAGCCAGAGAUCCUACAUUAAGGCGUUUGUGAAGUGGAUAUUUAGGGGACAAAAACAGUUACGGAGCCAAAGUGUGGAGAUUGAUUUUCCCGAACUAUGAACACCCUCAAGGCUGGCCACUGGCUCCAGCAAACCGUCGCCUGCCUUAUACACAGUCUUAGGACUGUGGGGAACCUUGGCUAACAGGACGAUCGAGUGGGAAGGGAAAGGAAACAGCGGAUGAGGAGCACCAGGAGCUUGGCACUUGAAAUCAACACUGCCCUUUGAUGUGCCCUUUGGUGGAGUUUCUGCUGGUUUGUCAAGGGGUGACACUGAGCUCAAAGUAGGUCGAUGUGGCGCCAGUGGGCAAUGGGGGCAGGGGAGUCUGCAUACCAUCCUGCUUCCAAAGGUCGACUGAUUCCCCUAAAGCAAAUGGCCUCAGGAUUUGUGGCUUCUCUUUUUUUGUUCGUUUUUUGUUUGUUUGUUUGUUUGUUUGGGCUGCACCUGAGCAUAUGGAAGUUCCCAGGCUAGGGGUAGAAUCAGAGCUAGAGCCACCCACCUACACCACAGCCACCGUAACACAGGAUCUGAUACACCGCAACACAACGCAACGCUGGAUACUUAACCCAGUGAGCAAGGGUAGGGAUUGAACCCUCAGCCUCAUGGAUCCUAGUUGGGCUCGUUAACCACUGAGCCACAUAGGGAAUUCCUCACUUAAAUCAAAAGGGAUAACAAUAAAAUCCCACCAUCUAGGAAGAUUUUCUUCCCCCAAGAGAAUCUAGGAAGAAAGGGCUUCUAAACUAAAUAAGGGGUUCCCUCUGAGCCAUUCUGGCAGGUGCAAAGCUGGAUUAAACAGCUUCCCUGGGAGUAGCAGUUAAGCCAUGAGUCAGGUUGCUCUGGCUCCCGUCUUGACUCAUGGGAGGAGCAGCUACCCACCAGGGACCCUAUACUAGGCCCUCUACCUUCUCUGGGUCUCAGUUUCCCCAUUGGGACAAUAAGAUUGUUACAAGAUGGGGCCAGAGACCAAACACUGACACAGAAGACCGUGAGAAGUGGUCGCAUUGUGCCCCAGUCCCCUGCCCGCACCCCCCCGCCCCCCCCCCCCGCCAAGGGAGCAGAUGGGACUUCGAGGGUGAGUAAGGGCCAGGCAGGGCAGGAUCAGAAUCCCAGCUCUGCUGACUCUCACAAGAGUGACUGGAGCUCAACUAGGCCAGGAGGAUACCUAGGGUCUCCACGUCCAGGCCCAGACAUCCAGGGAUGAGAGGACAGGGUGGCCAAGGGAGAGGCUUUUGCUCAGGCUUUGUCUCCCUGCUCUCAUGGGUCAGGAGAGGAAGCAUCAGAGAGAGGAGACCACCAGCCAGCCAUGUGACUUUGGCCAGUGUCUUCACUCUCUGAACCUCAGUUUUCUCUUCUGUAAAAUGGGUGGCAGGAGUUCCCGUUGUAGCGCAGCGGAAACGAAUCCCACUAGAAACCAUGAGGUUGCAGGUUUAAUCCCUGGCCUCACUCAGUGGGUUAAGGAUCUGGCUUUGCCAUGAGCUGUGGUGUAGGCCAGUGGCUACAGCUCCGAUUAGACCCCUAGCCUGGAACCUCAAUAUGCCAGGAGUUUGGCCCUAACAGCAAAAAAAAAAAAAAAAAAAAAAAAAAAUGGGUGUCAGACUCUACUCUGGAGACUCACUGAUGGGAUCAGAAAUGACACAUCUGCAGUGAAUGGUGCCCCAUAUCUCUGGAUAUAGAACACCCCUCAGUUAUGGGAGUUCCUCUUGUGGUCUAGUAGAAAUGAAUUAGACUAGUAUACACAAGGACGAGGGUUCGAUCCCUGGCCUCACUCAGUGGGUUAAGGAUCUGGCAUUGCUGUGGCUGUGGCGUGGGCCAGCAGCUGCUUCUCUGAUUUGACCUCUAGCCUGGGAACUUCCAUAUGCUGUGGGUGC